RNAcentral lists this long non-coding RNA (1518 nucleotides) under Equus asinus (donkey). RNAcentral's name for it is "lncRNA (ENSEASG00005031938.1)". The record is from RNAcentral. Lineage: Eukaryota; Metazoa; Chordata; Mammalia; Perissodactyla; Equidae.
GUUGUCUCAGGCACAUCUGACUUCAGUCACCCUGGAGCUGCUGUGGGGUCCUCAGCACCACGGCCGGAGCUGAAGGAAGAGGCCAGGCAUCUGGGGCUUCAGGGCCUGACAGAAGCGUGAGGCGUGGCGGCUUGUUUGCCACCACAGACAGUUGUCUGAAGAACUGCCAGAUUCACUUCAGGACCAGCGCCUCCGGAGGGCAGAUGAGUCGCGGGUCUCGACUUGAUCUGAGGAGAGGGUUCACUGCAAACAAAAGUUUGACCAGCACUGGCUGUGUUCCAGUGACUCCCGCUCUCCCCGGGCCCUGAGACCCCACCCACCUGCAGCAGAAUUCUGGGCUGGGAGCCCCUCCCCACUUUGCUGAAUUCAACAGGGAAAACCGCUUGCCACCAUUCUUCUGCAAACCUAGUCCACAAAGAUGUUCCGGUACAUCCCUUGUAGGUCUCCAGCUGGUUCGGCAACAAAAGAAUCUUGUAUAAAAAGAACAUGAAGUUUCAAAAAGAGACUUCCAUUUACAUGGCUAAAACGGGAGCAGACACCACCAAAGUCGGGGGUCCAGGGAGGCAGGCCAGCUACCCAUCGAUGCCCAGGUCCAGUGAGUGAGGCUGCCCAGCCCAGGGACAGUCACUCAAGUGUGGCCGGGCCCCCUGAGCUGUGACUGGGGAAGGAGCAAGAGGACAGCACGGCCCCUUCCGACUAGUCACCACUUACACCUCUUUAUUUAGAUGUUUCUCUGGUCCCUCCCCACUGACUGGCACGAGGGACGUGCUUAUCACCCUGCAGACAGUGGCCUCUCACUGGCCUGCCCCUGGGGGAGACAGCCUGUGGUCUCAGGCUCCCUCAGAUGUCCUGGCAACAAGGAGGGGCCCAUCUGUGCACUCGACCAUCAUCGUGACGACCACAGGUGCCACCACUGCAGCAGUGAUACAAGGCCAAGCUGACGGGUGACCUCGCCUGGUCCUGUGAGGAUCACAGAUGAGAACCAGGUGCAGGAGUGAGGGGCUGCUGGGUCACAGCCGAGAGGUGUAGGCCACCACCAGGCAGCACAUUCCAGGUCCCGGCCUGCACGCCAAAAGGCUGAGAGCGAUGGCUGCACAGGAUGGAAGGUGCUCGCCUCUGCUGCUGGUCCUCCCUAGACUCCUGCCCAGCCCCAGCCCCUCUGGCUCCUGCCCACUCAGACCCAUCACGCCCACGUCGCCUAGUCUGUUGCCACACCAUGGCCUCCACGCCUCCACUUCUGCUGCUUUUAAGAAUCAGGAAAUGGAUUUCAAACAGCCAGAAGAUGGCAGCCGACUCCUCCCCCCCCCCCCCCCCAUGCCCUCCAUUCCUGUCUUUGGGUCCAGUUGCCCUGCCACAUGGCUCCCUGUGGCCUCAGACUCACCAAUAGAUGAGGGCUCUGCUCUCGUCAAGUUAUGUUCCAGAGAGAAAAGAGAGAAUAAACAUGAGCAGAAGUCUGCAGUGGGUUUGGGGUCAGCCUCCGGGAGAAGGUGGCUUUUUUUCCAUUAAUUGUGAUAAAAG